This 506-nucleotide ribosomal RNA is filed under the name uncultured bacterium. RNAcentral's name for it is "partial 16S ribosomal RNA". It matches the Rfam family "Bacterial small subunit ribosomal RNA", at positions 29 to 523 of the family's 1533-position model. The record is from RNAcentral.
AGUGAACGCUGGCGGUAGGCCUAACACAUGCAAGUCGAACGGCAGCACAGAGGAGCUUGUUCCUUGGGUGGCGAGUGGCGGACGGGUGAGGAAUACAUCGGAAUCUACUCUGUCGUGGGGGAUAACGUAGGGAAACUUACGCUAAUACCGCAUACGACCUACGGGUGAAAGCAGGGGAUCUUCGGACCUUGCGCGAUUGAAUGAGCCGAUGUCGGAUUAGCUAGUUGGCGGGGUAAAGGCCCACCAAGGCGACGAUCCGUAGCUGGUCUGAGAGGAUGAUCAGCCACACUGGAACUGAGACACGGUCCAGACUCCUACGGGAGGCAGCAGUGGGGAAUAUUGGACAAUGGGCGCAAGCCUGACCCAGUCAUACCGCGUGGGUGAAGAAGGCCUUCGGGUUGUAAAGCCCUUUUGUUGGGAAAGAAAUCCAGCUGGCUAAUACCCGGUUGGGAUGACGGUUCCCAAAGAAUAAGCACCGGCUAACUUCGUGCCAGCCGCCGCCGUAA